UGGGAACGUGCCUUUUGGUUCGGAACAACCCAGGGAAACUUGGGCUAAUACCGGAUAAGCCCUUACGGGGAAAGAUUUAUCGCCAAAAGAUCGGCCCGCGUCUGAUUAGCUAGUUGGUGAGGUAACGGCUCACCAAGGCGACGAUCAGUAGCUGGUCUGAGAGGAUGAUCAGCCACACUGGGACUGAGACACGGCCCAGACUCCUACGGGAGGCAG
Molecule: ribosomal RNA, 216 nt
Filed under: uncultured bacterium
Lineage: Bacteria
Description: partial 16S ribosomal RNA
Rfam family: Bacterial small subunit ribosomal RNA
Source: RNAcentral